Molecule: ribosomal RNA, 484 nt
Filed under: uncultured bacterium
Lineage: Bacteria
Description: partial 16S ribosomal RNA
Rfam family: Bacterial small subunit ribosomal RNA
Source: RNAcentral
AUUGAACGCUGGCGGCAUGCUUUACACAUGCAAGUCGAACGGCAGCGCGGGCUUCGGCCUGGCGGCGAGUGGCGAACGGGUGAGUAAUACAUCGGAACGUGCCCAGUAGUGGGGGAUAGCUCGGCGAAAGCCGGAUUAAUACCGCAUACGACCUGAGGGUGAAAGCGGGGGAUCUUCGGACCUCGCGCUAUUGGAGCGGCCGAUGGCAGAUUAGCUAGUUGGUGGGGUAAAGGCCUACCAAGGCGACGAUCUGUAGCUGGUCUGAGAGGACGACCAGCCACCUUGGGGCUGAGCCAGGGCCCAGGGUCCUACGGGAGGCAGCAGUGGGGAAUUGUGGACAAUGGGCGGAAGCCUGAUCCAGCAAUGCGGCGUGUGUGAUGAAGGCCUUCGGGUUGGAAAGCACUUUUGGCGGGAACGAAAAGGACUGUGCCAAUACCACGGUUCGAUGACGGUACCGGCAGAAUAAGCACCGGCUAACUACGUG